AAAAAAACAUGCGAGGAUUUGUAUUCAGAAUCAGAAAUAAUUCAAAUUAAAACGUUUUAAGAUACCUCUGCUUUUUUUUAAACUCAAUUCUAAUGGGCUUUUGCUUUGAAGUUUCUUUGGCGCACCCUUUCUUCUAGAUGCUAUAGGAUCUAAUACACUUUCACUUACUUCUUUGAUAGAGUACUCUAGGUGCCUAACUGUACCAUAUGAUGCGUUGAGGACACUACUAGCAGUACUCGACCAUGUUAAUAAAAGAACCUUACGAUGUGAUUCGAUCCAUUCCAUUAUCACACAAGUUUGGUCGUCAUCAUCUACAGCAAGGUCUACCACCACAGCAAAAGACUGACACAUACUGUCGUAUCUUACAUGACUAGAUGUAUAACCAACUCAUUGUAGUUUACUGUGACUCUCGCGUGUGCUCUACUAACAUCUCUUCUCCAUCAUCUCAGUAUGUACCUCUCAGGUAGUGAUUUAGUGCCAUUGUGCAUCAAUACUAAUAUCGCAUGUCUACAAAUUAUUUGUAAAACUCGAACAAGUAACAAUUGCAAAUGAUUUGACGGUUCUUUCCAUGACAAUUACAAAUUAUUCUUUUCGUCGUUGAUAUCCCUGCCUAGAAAGCAGUUUUCAAAAAGCAAGGAACCCAACACCUUCUGUUCUCUUAUGGUCCCGACAACCAACCAUUUUCAUACAAUUUAAAUGCAUCCAUCAUUGCGAUCCAACUUUCUUCAAAUUCUUCAACAAACCGGAAGUCAUACACCAAUCCAUGAAUUUGAGAAAAUAUUAAAUCCUUAUCGACGUGGUAUCCAAACUUCUCUGGAAACUUCUUCAAAAUGUGUCAUAAACACCAUCUAUGCUUUGUAUUUAGAAAAUCAAUUUGGAUUUCAUUUUUCAUGGCCCUGUGUCAAGGACCGUAGCUUUACUUAGCCCUUUGACACUAUCGCAGCCGCAGUUUGUCCAACUUUGGCUGCACAUUGUAAAUAUUUGUUCACGUUUGAGUUGUAAUUUUCUUUUCAUUGUAAUAGUUAUUUCAGUUGUAAAAUAGCUCUGAUAUUAGUAAACGUUUAGUAUGAUUCCUCAUCUUUUAAACGUCUACUCCUGUCACUUAGUUUUUUGUUCUGAAUGCUAUUAUAGGGAGU
Molecule: long non-coding RNA, 1136 nt
Filed under: Olea europaea subsp. europaea
Lineage: Eukaryota; Viridiplantae; Streptophyta; Magnoliopsida; Lamiales; Oleaceae
Source: RNAcentral